GAGUUAAGUCUAAACAAAAUAAAGCUUCUAACUUUAAUUUUAAGCAGUGAGAUACUGUUUUUAACUCU
This 68-nucleotide transfer RNA is filed under the name Trigonopterus tanimbarensis. Its description in RNAcentral is "tRNA-Ser". The record is from RNAcentral. Lineage: Eukaryota; Metazoa; Arthropoda; Insecta; Coleoptera; Curculionidae.